This 466-nucleotide ribosomal RNA is filed under the name uncultured bacterium. RNAcentral describes it as "partial 16S ribosomal RNA". It matches the Rfam family "Bacterial small subunit ribosomal RNA", at positions 28 to 507 of the family's 1533-position model. The record is from RNAcentral.
GACGAACGCUGGCGGCGUGCUUAACACAUGCAAGUCGAACGGAAAGGCCUCUUUCGGGGGGUACUCGAGUGGCGAACGGGUGAGUAACACGUGAGUAACCUGCCCUUGACUUUGGGAUAACUUCAGGAAACUGGGGCUAAUACCGGAUAGGAGCUCCUGCUGCAUGGUGGGGGUUGGAAAGUUUCGGCGGUUGGGGAUGGACUCGCGGCUUAUCAGCUUGUUGGUGGGGUAGUGGCUUACCAAGGCUUUGACGGUAGCCGGCCUGAGAGGGUGACCGGCCACAUUGGGACUGAGAUACGGCCCAGACUCCUACGGGAGGCAGCAGUGGGGAAUAUUGCACAAGGGGUGGAAGCCUGAUGCAGCAACGCCGUGUGCGGGAUGACGGACUUCGGGUUGUAAACCGCUUUCGCUCAUGACGAAGCUUUGUGUGACGGUAGUGGGUAAAGAAGCACCGGCUAACUACGUG